RNAcentral lists this ribosomal RNA (724 nucleotides) under Nostoc sp. LCRNK.8. Its description in RNAcentral is "partial 16S ribosomal RNA". It matches the Rfam family "Bacterial small subunit ribosomal RNA", at positions 123 to 873 of the family's 1533-position model. The record is from RNAcentral. Lineage: Bacteria; Bacillati; Cyanobacteriota; Cyanophyceae; Nostocales; Nostocaceae.
UGNNUGGNNUCUGCUCAGUAACAUGUGGGAACGACUGCUAAUACCGGAUGUGCCGAAAGGUAAAAGGCUUGCUGCCUGAAGAUGAGCUCGCGUCUGAUUAGCUAGUUGGUGUGGUAAGAGCGCACCAAGGCGACGAUCAGUAGCUGGUCUGAGAGGAUGAUCAGCCACACUGGGACUGAGACACGGCCCAGACUCCUACGGGAGGCAGCAGUGGGGAAUUUUCCGCAAUGGGCGAAAGCCUGACGGAGCAAUACCGCGUGAGGGAGGAAGGCUCUUGGGUUGUAAACCUCUUUUCUCAAGGAAUAAUUUCUGAAGGUACUUGAGGAAUCACCUUCGGCUAAUUCCGGGCCACCACCCGCGGUAAUACGGAGGAUGCAAGCGUUUUCCGGAAUAAUUGGGCGUAAAGCGCCCCCAGGGGGCCCUGUAAUUCUGCUGUUAAAAAGCAAAGUUUAAUUUUGUAAAACCAGGGGAAACUACAAAGCUAGAGGGCGUUCGGGGUAAAGGGAAUUCCGGGGGUACCGGUGAAUUGCUUAAAGAUCAGGAAAAACACCGGUGGCAAAGGCCCUCUACUAGGCCGCACCUGACCCUGAGGGACAAAGGCUAGGGAAGCGAAUGGAAUUAAUCCCCCCCUUAAAAUUCNNNGGGGUUUUUUAUAUAACCCCGAAAUUAUGGCUUUUUCCCCCCCUCGUUGUGAAGCUAGCUGGAAACAUACCAGGGGGCUUAC